This 210-nucleotide ribosomal RNA is filed under the name uncultured bacterium. Its description in RNAcentral is "partial 16S ribosomal RNA". It matches the Rfam family "Bacterial small subunit ribosomal RNA", at positions 129 to 334 of the family's 1533-position model. The record is from RNAcentral.
CCUGGUAGCGGGGGAGUAACUAUUGAAACGAUAGCUAAUACCGCAUAAUAUUGAUUAUUGCAUGAUAAUUGAUUGAAAGAUGCAACUGCAUCACUACCAGAUGGACCUGCGUUGUAUUAGCUAGUAGGUGAGGUAACGGCUCACCUAGGCGACGAUACAUAGCCGACCUGAGAGGGUGAUCGGCCACACUGGGACUGAGACACGGCCCAG